GCAUUGGUGGCUCAGUGGUAGAGCUCCCGUCUCCCGCAUGAGAAACCGGGUUCGAACCCUGGCCAGUGCC
RNAcentral lists this transfer RNA (70 nucleotides) under Anguilla anguilla (European eel). It matches the Rfam family "tRNA". From Rfam's summary of the family: Transfer RNA (tRNA) molecules are approximately 80 nucleotides in length. Their secondary structure includes four short double-helical elements and three loops (D, anti-codon, and T loops). Further hydrogen bonds mediate the characteristic L-shaped molecular structure. tRNAs have two regions of fundamental functional importance: the anti-codon, which is responsible for specific mRNA codon recognition, and the 3' end, to which the tRNAs corresponding amino acid is attached (by aminoacyl-tRNA synthetases). tRNAs cope with the degeneracy of the genetic code in two manners: having more than one tRNA (with a specific anti-codon) for a particular amino acid; and 'wobble' base-pairing, i.e. permitting non-standard base-pairing at the 3rd anti-codon position. The record is from Rfam by way of RNAcentral. Lineage: Eukaryota; Metazoa; Chordata; Actinopteri; Anguilliformes; Anguillidae.